GAUGAACGCUGGCGGCGUGCCUAAUACAUGCAAGUCGAGCGAACAGACGAGGAGCUUGCUCCUCUGACGUUAGCGGCGGACGGGUGAGUAACACGUGGAUAACCUACCUAUAAGACUGGGAUAACUUCGGGAAACCGGAGCUAAUACCGGAUAAUAUAUUGAACCGCAUGGUUCAAUAGUGAAAGACGGUUUUGCUGUCACUUAUAGAUGGAUCCGCGCCGCAUUAGCUAGUUGGUAAGGUAACGGCUUACCAAGGCAACGAUGCGUAGCCGACCUGAGAGGGUGAUCGGCCACACUGGAACUGAGACACGGUCCAGACUCCUAUGGGAGGCAGCAGUAGGGAAUCUUCCGCAAUGGGCGAAAGCCUGACGGAGCAACGCCGCGUGAGUGAUGAAGGUCUUCGGAUCGUAAAACUCUGUUAUUAGGGAAGAACAAAUGUGUAAGUAACUAUGCACGUCCUGACGGUACCUAAUCAGAAAGCCACGGCUAACUACGUG
This 497-nucleotide ribosomal RNA is filed under the name uncultured bacterium. Its description in RNAcentral is "partial 16S ribosomal RNA". It matches the Rfam family "Bacterial small subunit ribosomal RNA", at positions 28 to 507 of the family's 1533-position model. The record is from RNAcentral.